RNAcentral lists this long non-coding RNA (1900 nucleotides) under Vigna radiata. RNAcentral describes it as "long non-coding RNA (VRAD_LNC011819)". The record is from RNAcentral. Lineage: Eukaryota; Viridiplantae; Streptophyta; Magnoliopsida; Fabales; Fabaceae.
AAACUGUGAAGAAGAGGGAAGAACUCAGAACUUAGUGCACUCUUAUGUUUAACUUUUGGCCAAUCCCAUUCCUUUUUUUUUUCUUUCUCUCUAGUUUUACACAAUGUCAGGUCUUUCUUUCAACUCUUUUGCAUUUUUUUUUCCUUUUUUUUUCUUUCUCUCUAGUUUUACACAAUGUCAGGUCUUUCUUUCAACUCUUUUGCAUUUUUUUUUCAGAUCUGCUCUUUCCUUUUACACACAACCAGAUUUCUCAACUGAUUUUCCUUUUCUUUUUUUUUUCUUCUGGCCUUCUUUUAUAUUGCACUCACCAAGUUCCAAGAUCCUCCAUCCCUUUCACAUGUCUCUACAGGUUAGGUAUUUGGUAGGAAAAAUGGCUUGUACUGAAUGGAAACAAAGAAAAUGGCCAAGGCUCAAAGUUAGGGUACAAUGGUCAGAAAUGAAAUGGUAAAACUAAACGGUUAUGGAUGGUAAGAAAGAAUGCCUAAAUCAUGUCUAAAGUCCACCAAGAGCAAGCUUUUNACAAAGAAUCAAUGCAAAAUCAGAAUGAAAAUCAAACAUGCAUGAAAUCACACUAGAAAGAAAAAAAUUGGCCCAAAAUCUCUCCGGGUUAAUAAAUUUCCAAAACUGACUUGUUACCUUCUUUUAUGGCAAAAUGCUUAAUUGAACUGAACUAAGAUGCAAAAAGCAAAGCUAGGACUACUUCUACUUAAAUCUAAAGCAAAGAAUUACAUCAAUAGUUCUAAUUAAGAGAAAUAAAACUGUGAAAUGAAGUAAAUCAGCAAAGAAUUGAGCAAGGAAUGAAAUAGAACUCAAAAAGAACCUAGAAUUACCCAACAGUACGACUUAAAACUAUUUACAACCUACAAAAGCUAAAACUGGACAGUAUGUAACUAAGAAAACCUAACUAAACUCAAUUAGCUAAAACAGUUCCUAAACCAAAGUUGUACUAGGAAAAGAAGAAAAUCAAAGAAAUAAUUAUGAACCUAGCUAGACUAAAACAAAUUUAUGUUCAAAAGAAAGAAAGCCUAAGAUAAUCCUAAACCGUAACAAUGAAUGGAAAAGAACCUAGGAGGCUAUUUCUAAAAAUCAAAACACAAUGUUCAGAACAAAAUUUAUUAUGAAAACUAAAUCAAGAAAAUGAAAUCAGAGAAGUAAACAAAUCCUAUAAAAGAAAAAAUUCUAAAGUAAAUGCAAAUGUACAAAGGCUAAAACAUAAUGUCAAAACUAAGACAAUUACUAAUAUUUAAAACAAGAAAUAAGAAAGCUAAAAUAAGACUACUGAUCCGUGAAACAGAACUCAAAGAAGCUAAAAUAGGAUCAGGGAUAAAAGAAAAUUUUUUACAAACAACUAGGAUUCUAAAAAAAACAAAGUUUAGUCUACAACCUAAAACAGAUUAUACAAGCAUCAAAAACUCAGUAUUUACAAACUAGAAGUAAGUAUUUAAAAACUGAAACAAAAUUGUAAUCAGCUCAAAGAAGAAAAAAAAAAUUUACUCAUAUUUUAACUACAAAACUCAUACUGUCACAUGCAUAUUAAAGAAAAAAAACAACAUUUACACUAAACCUUCUCACCCCCACACUUAAGAGGCACAUUGUCCUCAAUGUGUGAGUAAGAAAGGUUCCUAAACAAUACAGGUAUACACAGUUAUUUACAGCAUAUGAAUCAGAAUGAAAUCAGCAUAGAAAUCAGAAUUAUACAAAAAUUGGAAUUGAGAAAACAUAGAUUGAACAAGAUAUGUACAGAACAGAAUUAGGAAAAACACAAAAAACUAAAACUACAAAACUAAAAGAAAAGGAAAGUUGUUUAGAUUGGCCACAAGUCAAAAUUUAUUUUCUUUAUUUUUAUAAAAAACAACAUAUGUUCUACUUUACUAUUUAUUAUACUACCUAAGAUUAUNNN